AAGACUCUACAACAUGGCGUGUAACUCUCUAUAUAUAUAUCUCUUCAUUCAAUGUACCACCUUCAUGCCUCCACCGAUUUCAUGAUAUUAAAUGCCACUACUAGCUUAGCUAUCACACCUGAGAUUUUGGAGGAAACCGAAUUCCACUUCACCAUGCUUCGGUUUACAUAACUUUUAAUUGACAAUACAAGGAAAAGAGGAAAAUGGUUUUCUCAGUUGGUUGUCCAGAACCCACCCUGCUCGCAUUUAGCGAUGCAUUGCCACGAUAGACCGACUUUUAUGGCUUUGAAAUACAGAGGUCAAUACAGCCAUGGAAGGCUUGUUGAGCCUAGUGUUCACCAUGGGACCGUAUCACAUUCCCUACUUCAAUUGGAGCCCAACAGAAUUUCAAAAUAAAUGUAAAGAACUCCGAUGCAUCAGCAUCGUGAUGGAGCUAUGUUUUGAACCUGUUCAGUAGAGAGUUUUAAUGUACUUCUUUUAAUUCGGUAGAAAGUUUACAUUUUGGAUCAAACGGCUUAUAUUUACUUCAUACUUUAGCACUGUGUAAGUUGGAUGAUCAGGGUUGUCCAAUGAACAUGUACUCCUCAAUCACCCACUGGUGUACUCACCUCUAGUAGAAGAAACAGUGGACUGAAAGAAAAAAAAUAUGCAAAUAAUAUAUUAAAAAACAUUAUCUCCGGCGAAUAAAAUCUCCAAUCGUCGCUUGUUUCUUGGUGGAUGCGAUAUUUGUUAGUCUUUGGUGCGAUAUUUCUUUGGUAUUCGGCGCGGACAUUCGGCACCCCUUCAUCGAUGGAUAGAAGUAGCGACUAACGACAGAUGUUUCCAAGAUGAAGGCUUCAGACAUACUGAUGUAUUACUUUAUAAGGUCUUUGUGAAUAAUUAAUAAAGCGACCGCAUGCAUCUAAGCAGAUGCAGAGGCCGGAGGUCAUCCUUCUUUUCUAAAAAAAUGUACCAUGUCCCCGACGUAAGUAAGAAAAAUUAAAGUUAAAAAUACUAGCCCUCGACCCAAAAAGUUUCAUACAUGAGUCUUCGUGAUUUAUUGUUGAACAAUCAUUGUGCAAAAUAUAUCCAUGUAUGAUUUGUAUAAAAGCGCAUGUUUCUGUAAAAUUUUCCCAAAAUAAUAUUAGAAAUUCUAUCAUAAGUACUUACAUCAUCUCUAACCGAACUCUCAAAAAG
Molecule: long non-coding RNA, 1176 nt
Filed under: Hordeum vulgare
Lineage: Eukaryota; Viridiplantae; Streptophyta; Magnoliopsida; Poales; Poaceae
Description: long non-coding RNA (HVUL_LNC002636)
Source: RNAcentral